UUAUCCGUUUGAUUUUAAUUGCAAUUAAAUAACGGAAACAUUAUGAUUCAUUGUGUAACAAACGUUAAGUUUCACGAGUAAUUAGUUUGGCAGAGGUAUGAUGCUUUGAUUUGCCAAUUAAAAUAAUUUCGGGACCAAUUUAACAAUUAUCAAACACACUUAGAUCGGAAGACGUGUGAUCAGAUGAUUGACUAAUUACUAGUACAGAAACAUCAAAAGGAGACAUUAUAAAGGCGUUAUAUUGUUUUUAAAAACUUUAAGCCAGUUUGCAUCUUUUGAUCUCAAGAUAUUCGCCGAAAGUGUAUAUAAAAAGCAACUUGGCUAUGGCAUCGUCAUUCGUGAUUUUAUAUUUCGACACGUUCUUAUGACAGACGAAUUGUGUAUUUCGUGUGAUCAGAUAGUGACACCUCGCAAACAUGCCAUCACAUGCGAUUUAUGUGACAGAUGGCAACAUCGGACAUGUGAUACAGGUAUAUCAGCAGGGAGUAUCACCAGGCCCGUAAAUCACAGCUCGAACUGCAUUUUAUAUGCAGACCGUGCCAUCUUCAGACCAUCGAUCCAGAGCCUUUGGAAGAAACCGGAAAUACGGAGCCUAAGCAAGAACCCGAGCCGAUGGAAGAAACCGUCUAUCCUGAGCACAUGGAAGAUACUGAGCCCACGGUAGAACCAGUCCAUCUAGAGCAGAGGGAAGAUACUGAGCCCACGGAAGAACCAGUCCAUCUAGAGCAGAGGGAAUAUCCUGAGCCCACGGAAGAACCAGUCCAGGAAAAGCCGAUGCAGGUUGACGCUCACUUCGACAUGAGUUUUGACGUAAAUCACAGAGUGGCAGAUGACCCGGAAGAACCACAAGACACGUCCCUCAAUGCAGAACCAGAUCUUCCAAACCAUAUUAUGGAAGAAGAGGCAUUGACGUACUAAGUGCUGGAAAAGGGCGGUAAACGAGGCGGUAAACUACUGGUGACCAGCAAUGGCUAUUCUUAUGGAGUAAAGCCAACAAGAAGUCUACGUUGUGGACGUGUGGUGUACGGUCAACAAAGAUGCGAUGCCAUGCAACUGUCAGCCAACACGGUGACCAUUUCAAACCAGGUCUACAAGAUCCCGCGCACCCCGCGGACUUAAGACUGGCCGUCAAAGCAGAGUUAUCGGCAGUGGCAGGCCUAUUAUUUAUUUAUUUAACAAAUAUAUCGGCAAUGGUAGGCCUUUUAUUUAUUUAUUUUAAAAAUAUGUCGGCAGUGGUAGGCCUAUUAUUUAUUUAUUUAAAAAAUGGUAUGCAAACAGAAACAAGGUGCAAUUUCUCAUUAUGUCACAAUGUCCGAAUGGUUUUUUACGCUGUUUUAUUUCAGCUUCGUUACAAUUUUUUUAUUUCAGAGCAAGCAUCUGAUGGAGCUAGAUCCGCACCGGCGAGCCAUGGAAGUAGUGACUCAUGUGAUGACCAAUCUUAUCCCGGAAGAACAGCGGUUCCUGGCCCCAAAACAGAAACUGUUAAAGCGGGCUCUGAACCGUCACCGAGCCAAGAAUAGGCAUGAGGAACCAACCAAUUUAGACUUUGAGCUUGACACAGACUAUCUGUGCUGACUUUUUGCUGGCCGACAUCCGAGUGGGAGACCAAAGGCACAUUAUCUUCGCCACGGAAUACCAGCUUAACCUACUUUGCCAUGCUAGGCGCUGGUUCAUGGA
This is an RNA transcript of Dreissena polymorpha, 1677 nucleotides long. It is a transcript of the gene named 110 kDa antigen-like, with no coding region annotated. Lineage: Eukaryota; Metazoa; Mollusca; Bivalvia; Myida; Dreissenidae. The record is from RefSeq and is a predicted model, not a curated record. The transcript has 5 exons.